GUCGUGAGACAGUUUGGUCCCUAUCUU
Molecule: small RNA, 27 nt
Filed under: Bombyx mori (domestic silkworm)
Lineage: Eukaryota; Metazoa; Arthropoda; Insecta; Lepidoptera; Bombycidae
Description: ovarian small RNA-17796
Source: RNAcentral